Cloeon dipterum is the source of this 855-nucleotide long non-coding RNA. RefSeq lists it as uncharacterized. The transcript is spliced from 2 exons. Lineage: Eukaryota; Metazoa; Arthropoda; Insecta; Ephemeroptera; Baetidae. The record is from RefSeq and is a predicted model, not a curated record.
CGUCAGUCGUCGCCAUCUCGUCUCUUCUGCAAGCUUUGUGUACUUAGAGUAGGUGUCAUUUGCUACCGACACUCGGCACGCUGUGCACAGCCGCCUCCGCCGCCUCGCACCCCAGGCACCCCGGCGCCACCCCGCGGGCUGCCGGCGCCGAAAAAAGGGCCGCCGGCCCCGAUGAAGCUUUCGUGGGCUCAAGUGGGGCCCCUUGAGGCUGCGUGACGUCAAUCCGUGGCGCCCCACCACCGCUGCCAUUGUUGGGCAACAAUGCUGACCAUUGUUGCCGCCUCCAGUGCUGUUUCCAGAGAUGUGCGCCAGAAGCUGAAAUCUCGCUUGCUGACUUAUGUAGAACCCCCUGUACGUAUACUGAAUGUAUCCUGAGUGUCAUUCAUAUCCGGUAUACCUUCAGUAUACGUAACAGGAGGCUACACUGAUCACCAUUGAACGCCGGCCGCGCACUCAUCUGCUGAUCAGAAUGCAGCGCGGCGUCUCUUCACUGCCUCUUCGCACACUCAGAGUCCCUCUUCUUGCUGCAAACGCGAGCGGCCGCUCACACGGAAUAUCAAACUACUACCUACCAACACUGUGAGGAAUGUGAAAAUCACUCAUGUUGAUCCAAACCAAUAAAAUGCUUGAUAAAUUACACUGAUAUGUACACGAAACUCUCUCUUUGGGAAAUUUAUGUGGUUUAUCUGGCUGCAAAUAAAUACAUACAUUGAUUUUAUACCUCAUAUACUUGUAUUGCUGGGCAAAUAAAAUUAAAUUUACAACCGUGCAUGCGAACGUACACGAACUGUCAAUAAUUCAAUGUGUUAUUGUUCAAGUGUAGGCAAAUAAAAAUACAGCUGGUAUUUAACAACA